AUACGGAGGGUGCAAGCGUUGUUCGGAAUCACUGGGCGUAAAGGGCGCGCAGGCGGUUUGGUAAGUCAGAUGUGAAAGCCCACGGCUCAACCGUGGAAGUGCAUUUGAAACUGUCAGACUUGAGUACUAGAGGGGAAAGUGGAAUUCCCGGUGUAGAGGUGAAAUUCGUAGAUAUCGGGAGGGAUACCGGUGGCGAAGGCGACUUUCUGGCUAGAUACUGACGCUGAGGCGCGAAAGCGUGGGGAGCAAACAGGAUUAGAAACCCUUGUAGUCC
Molecule: ribosomal RNA, 274 nt
Filed under: uncultured bacterium
Lineage: Bacteria
Description: partial 16S ribosomal RNA
Rfam family: Bacterial small subunit ribosomal RNA
Source: RNAcentral